Small nuclear RNA from Gracilinanus agilis (Agile Gracile Mouse Opossum), 104 nucleotides. Lineage: Eukaryota; Metazoa; Chordata; Mammalia; Didelphimorphia; Didelphidae. The record is from RefSeq and is a predicted model, not a curated record.
CUGCUCCCUUUGGCAGCACAUAUAAUAAAACUGGAACAAUAUAGAAAUUAGCAUGGCCCCUGCACAAGGAUGAUAUGCAAAUUGAAGAAGCAUUUCAUAUUUUU